Molecule: ribosomal RNA, 734 nt
Filed under: uncultured Enterobacteriaceae bacterium
Lineage: Bacteria; Pseudomonadati; Pseudomonadota; Gammaproteobacteria; Enterobacterales; Enterobacteriaceae
Description: bacterial SSU rRNA
Rfam family: Bacterial small subunit ribosomal RNA
Source: RNAcentral
AGCAAACAGGAUUAGAUACCUGGUAGUCCACGCUGUAAACGAUGUCGAUUUGGAGUCUGGGGGCAUGACCCUUGGGCUCCGGAGCUAACGCGUUAAAUCGACCGCUGGGGAGUACGGCCGCAAGGUUAAAACUCAAAUGAAUUGACGGGGGCCCGCACAAGCGGUGGAGCAUGUGGUUUAAUUCGAUGCAACGCGAAGAACCUUACCUGGUCUUGACAUCCAUAGAAUCUUUCAGAGAUGAGAGAGUGCCUUCGGGAGCUAUGAGACAGGUGCUGCAUGGCUGUCGUCAGCUCGUGUUGUGAAAUGUUGGGUUAAGUCCCGCAACGAGCGCAACCCCUAUCCUUUGUUGCCAGCACGUAAUGGUGGGGACUCAAAGGAGACUGCCGUUGAUAAAGCGGAGGAAGGUGGGGACGACGUCAAGUCAUCAUGGCCCUUACGACCAGGGCUACACACGUGCUACAAUGGCGUAUACAAAGGGAUGCGAAGGUGCGAACUGGAGCGGACCUCACAAAGUACGUCUAAGUCCGGAUUGGAGUCUGCAACUCGACUCCAUGAAGUCGGAAUCGCUAGUAAUCGUGAAUCAGAAUGUCACGGUGAAUACGUUCCCGGGCCUUGUACACACCGCCCGUCACACCAUGGGAGUGGGUUGCACCAGAAGUAGAUAGCUUAACCUUCGGGAGGGCGUUUACCACGGUGUGGUUCAUGACUGGGGUGAAGUCGUAACAAGGUAACCA